GAAAUAAUGGCUCCCCGUUUGAUCAACCAUAGUAAAGCACCAGAGAG
RNAcentral lists this ribosomal RNA (47 nucleotides) under Yarrowia lipolytica CLIB122. RNAcentral's name for it is "rRNA YALI0_E28682r". The record is from RNAcentral. Lineage: Eukaryota; Fungi; Ascomycota; Dipodascomycetes; Dipodascales.